UUGCUGACGACCGGCGCACGGGUGCGUAACGCGUAUACAAUCUACCUCUUACUGAGGGAUAGCCCAGAGAAAUUUGGAUUAAUACCUCAUAGUAUGUUGGAGUGGCAUCACUUUAAUAUUAAAGGUUACGGUAAGAGAUGAGUAUGCGUUCUAUUAGCUAGUAGGUAUGGUAACGGCAUACCUAGGCGACGAUAGAUAGGGGCCCUGAGAGGGGGAUCCCCCACACUGGUACUGAGACACGGACCAGACUCCUACGGGAGGCAGCAGUGAGGAAUAUUGGUCAAUGGGCGCAAGCCUGAACCAGCCAUGCCGCGUGCCGGAAGACUGCCCUAUGGGUUGUAAACUGCUUUUAUACAGGAAGAAACACUCGCUCGUGUCCGAGCUUGACGGUACUGUUAGAAUAAGGAUCGGCUAACUCCGUGCCAGCAGCCGCGGUAAUACGGAGGAUCCAAGCGUUAUCCGGAAUCAUUGGGUUUAAAGGGUCCGUAGGUGGAUUAGUAAGUCCAGGUGAAAGCCUGCAGCUCAACUGUAGAACUGCCUUUGAUACUGCUAGUCUUGAGUCAUUAUGAAGUGGUUAGAAUGUGUAGUGUAGCGGUGAAAUGCAUAGAUAUUACACAGAAUACCGAUUGCGAAGGCAGAUCACUAAUAAUGUACUGACACUGAUGGACGAAAGCGUGGGGAGCGAACAGGAUUAGAUACCCUGGUAGUCCACGCCGUAAACGAUGGUCACUAGCUGUGUGGAUUUCGGUCUGCGUGGCUAAGCGAAAGUGAUAAGUGACCCACCUGGGGAGUACGUUCGCAAGAAUGAAACUCAAAGGAAUUGACGGGGGCCCGCACAAGCGGUGGAGCAUGUGGUUUAAUUCGAUGAUACGCGAGGAACCUUACCAGGGCUUAAAUGUAAGUUGCAUGAUUUAGAGAUAGAUCUUUCUUCGGACUACUUACAAGGUGCUGCAUGGUUGUCGUCAGCUCGUGCCGUGAGGUGUCAGGUUAAGUCCUAUAACGAGCGCAACCCCUGUUGUUAGUUGCCAGCGAGUAAAGUCGGGAACUCUAACAAGACUGCCGGUGCAAACCGUGAGGAAGGUGGGGAUG
Molecule: ribosomal RNA, 1089 nt
Filed under: Flavobacteria bacterium UST061013-076
Lineage: Bacteria; Pseudomonadati; Bacteroidota; Flavobacteriia
Description: bacterial SSU rRNA
Rfam family: Bacterial small subunit ribosomal RNA
Source: RNAcentral